UCAGAGCUCUUUGAAAGAUGACUGUACAGAUAAAAGCAUAGAAAGCCUUGAUGAGGGAAAGACAGUAUUAAUGAAGGAAGCAAUUGGAGAAGAAGCAAAGGAUGCAUUGGUUUCAAUUUCGAAGACAUGCAAGCUUUUGAAGUCAAUCUCAAGAACCAGAAACCGGGGUUGUUGUGGAUGAGGAUGGAAAACUAGAAGACAGAGUUGGAGUGGCCUUGAAAUGUCUUCCAAACUAUGAUCCUGCUACCUGUAUGUUCGAAACAGUUUAAAGCUGCAACGGAAUCACCCCCCUAUACAGAAAGUGUGUGCGUAGGAUUGGAGCAUGCACACUCUUUUUUCCAGUUUCAAAGCGCAGAGACAGAGAGAGACUACACUUUGUUAGAUCGCAGGUUUUGUUCCUUGGUUUGGGUUGGACUCUAAGGGCUUCUGCUUUUUGUGUCCUUCCCCUGCUGCAUUGUGUUGUUAGAUUUGGUUUGGAUUGGAUUGUUUGUUUUAUAGGAUUCUCAGAAAUUGGUCAGUUGUAAAAGAACUGCAUUACUAGUAUUGAUUGUUUGUUUUUGGUUCAGAACACGUCAUAAUGGAAGAGAAGAUGAGAAUUGGAGGAGGGUUGCUUUUUGUAGUAGUGGCUGUUAAGAAAGUAAACGGCAUAAGACAGGAUGCUGAAAGAGAAUUUGAGAAUGAGGUGAACUGGUUGGGAAAAAUUCGGCAUCAAAACA
This is an RNA transcript of Rosa chinensis, 716 nucleotides long. RefSeq lists it as uncharacterized. Lineage: Eukaryota; Viridiplantae; Streptophyta; Magnoliopsida; Rosales; Rosaceae. The transcript has 4 exons. The record is from RefSeq and is a predicted model, not a curated record.